This 200-nucleotide unclassified non-coding RNA is filed under the name Sordariales sp. Its description in RNAcentral is "partial internal transcribed spacer 2". Lineage: Eukaryota; Fungi; Ascomycota; Sordariomycetes; Sordariales. The record is from RNAcentral.
UUAAGUUCAGCGGGUAUUCCUACCUGAUCCGAGGUCAACCUUGGUAAAAAGGGGGUGUUUUACGGCAAGAACCCGCCGCACGCCCAGAGCGAGAUGUGCUACUGCGCUCGGUGUGACUAGCGAGCCCGCCACUGGUUUCAGGGCCUGCGGACAGCCGCAGGACCCCAACACAAGCAGGGCUUGAUGGUUGAAAUGACGCU